This 634-nucleotide ribosomal RNA is filed under the name uncultured bacterium. RNAcentral's name for it is "bacterial SSU rRNA". The stretch from base 1 to 544 matches the Rfam family "Bacterial small subunit ribosomal RNA", at positions 338 to 873 of the family's 1533-position model. The record is from RNAcentral.
CCUACGGGAGGCAGCAGUGGGGAAUUUUGGACAAUGGGCGAAAGCCUGAUCCAGCCAUUCCGCGUGAGUGAAGAAGGCCUUCGGGUUGUAAAGCUCUUUCGCAAGGGAAGAAAACUUACAUUCUAAUAAAGUGUGAGGCUGACGGUACCUUGAUAAGAAGCACCGGCUAACUACGUGCCAGCAGCCGCGGUAAUACGUAGGGUGCGAGCGUUAAUCGGAAUUACUGGGCGUAAAGCGUGCGCAGGCGGUUUUGUAAGUCAGAUGUGAAAUCCCCGAGCUCAACUUGGGAACUGCGUUUGAAACUACAAGACUAGAAUAUGUCAGAGGGGGGUAGAAUUCCACGUGUAGCAGUGAAAUGCGUAGAGAUGUGGAGGAAUACCAAUGGCGAAGGCAGCCCCCUGGGAUAAUAUUGACGCUCAUGCACGAAGGCGUGGGGAGCAAACAGGAUUAGAUACCCUGGUAGUCCACGCCCUAAACGAUGUCUACUAGUUGUUGGUGGAGUAAAAUCCAUGAGUAACGCAGCUAACGCGUGAAGUAGACCGCCUUGGGGGAGGACGGUCGGUCGAGAAGUUAAACUAACGAAAGGAAAGUUAGACGGCGNGAGAGNGCCGACGGACGACGACGAGGGAGGAGG